CGUGUAGGCGGUAUCAUAAGUCAGUGGUGAAAUCUGGUCGCUCAACGAUCAAACUGCCAUUGAUACUGUUAGACUUGAAUAAUUGUGAAGUAACUAGAAUAUGUAGUGUAGCGGUGAAAUGCUUAGAUAUUACAUGGAAUACCAAUUGCGAAGGCAGGUUACUAACAAUUGAUUGACGCUGAUGGACGAAAGCGUGGGGAGCGAACAGGAUUAGAUACCCUCGUA
RNAcentral lists this ribosomal RNA (225 nucleotides) under uncultured Flavobacterium sp. RNAcentral describes it as "partial 16S ribosomal RNA". It matches the Rfam family "Bacterial small subunit ribosomal RNA", at positions 568 to 792 of the family's 1533-position model. The record is from RNAcentral. Lineage: Bacteria; Pseudomonadati; Bacteroidota; Flavobacteriia; Flavobacteriales; Flavobacteriaceae.